This 66-nucleotide transfer RNA is filed under the name Parajapyx emeryanus. RNAcentral describes it as "tRNA-Asn". The record is from RNAcentral. Lineage: Eukaryota; Metazoa; Arthropoda; Diplura; Dicellurata; Parajapygidae.
UUAGAAAAAGCCAAAUUAGAGGCCCUUCAUUGUUAAUGAAGAAAUUGGUAUUAGCACCUUUCUAAA